GACGAACGCUGGCGGCGUGCUUAACACAUGCAAGUCGAACGGAAAGGCCCUGCUUUUGUGGGGUGCUCGAGUGGCGAACGGGUGAGUAACACGUGAGUAACCUGCCCCUGACUUUGGGAUAACUUCAGGAAACUGGGGCUAAUACCGGAUAUGAUCUCCUGCUGCAUGGUGGGGGUUGGAAAGUUUCGGCGGUUGGGGAUGGACUCGCGGCUUAUGAGCUUGUUGGUGGGGUAGUGGCUUACCAAGGCUUUGACGGGUAGCCGGCCUGAGAGGGUGACCGGCCACAAUGGGACUGAGAUACGGCCCAGACUCCUACGGGAGGCAGCGGGGGGAAGUAUUGCACAAUGGGCGGAAGCCUGAUGCAGCAGCGCCGCGUGCGGGAUGACGGCCUACGGGUUGUGAACCGCUUUCGCCUGUGACGAAGCGUGAGUGACGGUAAUGGGUAAAGAAGCACCGGCUAACUACGUG
Molecule: ribosomal RNA, 468 nt
Filed under: uncultured bacterium
Lineage: Bacteria
Description: partial 16S ribosomal RNA
Rfam family: Bacterial small subunit ribosomal RNA
Source: RNAcentral